UACGUAGGGUGCAAGCGUUGUCCGGAAUUAUUGGGCGUAAAGAGCUCGUAGGCGGUCUGUUGCGUCGGCUGUGAAAACCCGAGGCUCAACCUCGGGCCUGCAGCCGAUACGGGCAGACUAGAGUUCGGCAGGGGAGACUGGAAUUCCUGGUGUAGCGGUGAAAUGCGCAGAUAUCAGGAGGAACACCGGUGGCGAAGGCGGGUCUCUGGAACGGUACUGACGCUGAGACGCGAAAGCGUGGGGAGCGAACAGG
This 253-nucleotide ribosomal RNA is filed under the name uncultured bacterium. RNAcentral's name for it is "partial 16S ribosomal RNA". It matches the Rfam family "Bacterial small subunit ribosomal RNA", at positions 524 to 776 of the family's 1533-position model. The record is from RNAcentral.